This 498-nucleotide ribosomal RNA is filed under the name uncultured Anaplasma sp. Its description in RNAcentral is "bacterial SSU rRNA". It matches the Rfam family "Bacterial small subunit ribosomal RNA", at positions 128 to 660 of the family's 1533-position model. The record is from RNAcentral. Lineage: Bacteria; Pseudomonadati; Pseudomonadota; Alphaproteobacteria; Rickettsiales; Anaplasmataceae.
ACCUAGUAGUAUGGGAUAGCCACUAGAAAUGGUGGGUAAUACUGUAUAAUCCCUGCGGGGGAAAGAUUUAUCGCUAUUAGAUGAGCCUAUGUCAGAUUAGCUAGUUGGUAGGGUAAAGGCCUACCAAGGCAGUGAUCUAUAGCUGGUCUGAGAGGAUGAUCAGCCACACUGGAACUGAGACACGGUCCAGACUCCUACGGGAGGCAGCAGUGGGGAAUAUUGGACAAUGGGCGCAAGCCUGAUCCAGCUAUGCCGCGUGAGUGAGGAAGGCCUUAGGGUUGUAAAACUCUUUCAGUGGGGAAGAUAAUGACGGUACCCACAGAAGAAGUCCCGGCAAACUCCGUGCCAGCAGCCGCGGUAAUACGGAGGGGGCAAGCGUUGUUCGGAAUUAUUGGGCGUAAAGGGCAUGUAGGCGGUUCGGUAAGUUAAAGGUGAAAUGCCAGGGCUUAACCCUGGAGCUGCUUUUAAUACUGCCAGACUUGAGUCCGGAAGAGGAUA